UUCGUUAGUCUAUAUCGUUUGCUCGAACUGAAAGGAGAUCUAAAAUUUAUACCAAAAUUUGUCUAGUACACAAUCUUUUUAAUCUAAAAUAUCAGUGAAUAUGUAUAAAUUUUUGUCACUAAUCUUUUUCACAAUUGUGUAUUUCGUAUUACUCGUAGUGCGCCUUUUCACGGGUUCGUCGGAGGAUCAGGAACCGACUGAGGACCGCGAACCGGUUGAGGAGAAGAAACCGGCGGCUCGGGAGGUGGUUCGUGUCCGUGAUCUACGCCUAUGGAACGAAUAUCUUCGGGCUAGGGGUGGCAGGGGGAGGUACAGAAGACGCGUGUGAAGAACCUACACACAUGCAGUUACUCCCGUCUACCAGGCAGAGCCACUCCACUGCAGUUAUCGUUCGCAGUAUCGAUCCAGUACUUUCAAAGCGAAAGUGCUACAAAUGUUAAAUGCGAAUGUACUAAACGCAAAGACGGCGAAUACCACCACGGCAUAAAUUGCUCAUUUAAUGGGUUUAAUGUGUACUAGUGAUCACUGAUCAGUGAUUACAUCACUUUGCUAUCCAAGGAGGCUGCUAAUCCUUCGCCAGGUCGGAGUGGGAGGUGAGGCCACCUUGAAGUCGUUCUUAAGGAGAUAUUGCCACAGAUGGAGUGACGUUUAUCUAAAUGCACAUUUGUAUGUUUUCAUGUGUAUAGCUUUUUAAUCGGACAGAGAAUACAAGAGAAUAAGUGCAGUAUA
Molecule: long non-coding RNA, 729 nt
Organism: Drosophila serrata
Lineage: Eukaryota; Metazoa; Arthropoda; Insecta; Diptera; Drosophilidae
Source: RefSeq, a predicted model, not a curated record